This 115-nucleotide ribosomal RNA is filed under the name Thermoanaerobacterales bacterium. Lineage: Bacteria; Bacillati; Bacillota; Clostridia; Thermoanaerobacterales. The record is from RNAcentral.
UUUGGUGACAUUAGCGGAGGGGCAACACCGGUUCCCAUCCCGAACACGCAGGUUAAGCCCUCCAGCGCCGAUGGUACUUGGGGAAUUCCCCUGGGAGAGUAGGUCGUUGCCAAAU